AUACUACUCCCUCAGUCUCAAAAUUCUUGUUUUUAGAUUUGUCUAAAUACGAAUGUAUCAAGUCAUGGUUUAGUAUUAGAUACAUCUAUAUCUAGACAAAUCUAAGACAAGAAUUUUGGGACAGGGGGAGUAUAUC
Non-coding RNA from Triticum aestivum (bread wheat), 136 nucleotides. The record is from Rfam. Lineage: Eukaryota; Viridiplantae; Streptophyta; Magnoliopsida; Poales; Poaceae.